This 473-nucleotide ribosomal RNA is filed under the name uncultured bacterium. RNAcentral describes it as "partial 16S ribosomal RNA". It matches the Rfam family "Bacterial small subunit ribosomal RNA", at positions 28 to 507 of the family's 1533-position model. The record is from RNAcentral.
GGUGAACGCUGGCGGCGUGCCUAAGACAUGCAAGUCGAGCGGGCCGCGGGGUUUUACUCCGUGGUCAGCGGCGGACGGGUGAGUAACGCGUGGGUGACCUACCCGGAAGAGGGGGACAACCCGGGGAAACUCGGGCUAAUCCCCCAUGUGGACCCGCCCCUUGGGGUGUGUCCAAAGGGCUUUGCCCGCUUCCGGAUGGGCCCGCGUCCCAUCAGCUAGUUGGUGGGGUAAUGGCCCACCAAGGCGACGACGGGUAGCCGGCCUGAGGGGGUGGCCGGCCACAGGGGCACUGAGAGACGGGCACCACUCCUACGGGAGGCAGCAGGUAGGAACCUGCCGCAAUGGGCGCAAGCCUGACGGAGCGACGCCGCUUGGAGGAAGAAGCCCUUCGGGGUGUAAACUCCUGAACCCGGGACGAAACCCCCGACGAGGGGACUGACGGUACCGGGGUAAUAGCGCCGGCCAACUCCGUG